This 1539-nucleotide long non-coding RNA is filed under the name Mus spicilegus (steppe mouse). Its description in RNAcentral is "lncRNA (ENSMSIG00000028876.1)". The record is from RNAcentral. Lineage: Eukaryota; Metazoa; Chordata; Mammalia; Rodentia; Muridae.
GCUCCUGACCCUUUUGCCUCUGCCUUCCGCAUAAUGGGAUUGCAGGAGGAUACUAGGCCACUCGAUAUAUGUAGUGUUGGGAUUGGAACUCAGUCAGGCCUUUGUGCACAUUAGGGAAAUGCUCUACCAACUGGGUAUCUCCAGACCCAUUUUAGAUUUUGUUACAUUCUGUUACAUACAUAUACUCAUUUUAAGUCUUGAGAGUGGUGGUUUCUUGGCAGAACACCACAGAUCUUUCAUCAGUACAUUUAAGACAAGAUGCUUUAGACUCGGGAGUACGAUGGAAGACUAGACGCUGUGCCAGAGUGCGUGGGUGAUUAUACAGUUAAAGGAAAGAGAAGGACUAGGGCUGUUGUUACUGCUGGGCUAAGCUGCUCCUGCCCGGCUCCCUGAGUCACACCAGUGGUUGCUCUACAUGCCAGUCAUCGUUUCCACGCAUGGGCCUGGGUGCCCGCCACUGCUGCUCCAUUUAAUGCAGACUUUGGGCCAUGGCUGCCAUUGUGAAUCAGUCCCACAUGGCGCUGCCUGUGAAUUGCCUUCAAGGAACAGCAUCAUUAGUGAACUUCUGCUUCAAAACAACUCCUUGAGCCCCUAAUGCUGCUGCAGUGGCACUAUGCAGAUGAGUAUUAAUCUCCUCGACCGACUGAUGAGCUUCAUACAGGACAGGCCCCAGGAAUUUCAGAUAGAACUGGGUUGGUGAAAAGUACAGAGCGAGUCAGGAACAGACUCAGUACAAGAGGGUGAAUACCUGGAGCAUGGCCAGGAAACCUGAGAAAAUGACUCCAAGGGCAAGCCGUGCUGUGGAACCCAGCACACUACUGGCACGCAAAGGAAGAAGCAUCCCUCCAUGGUUUCUGUGCCAGGAAGAAGCAUCCCUCCAUGGUUUCUGUAUCGGUUCCUGCUUCUGGGUUCCUGACUUGAGUUCCUGCUCUGACAUCCCUGAAUGAUGAACUACAAGAUGGCAGAUCAUCAGCUUAUCUGACCCUCUGAAGAAUCCACAGUCUGAAGGCCUCCCAGGAAAUCUUCUACAUCCAGAGCAAUUGGUAAGAGACCCUCCCAAAUAACGGCAGCACCAGGGACACCCGAGGAGCCCAGGACUAGGGACCCAUCCCCACCACUCAAACUCUACCUCCCUUCUGACCUGCCCAUUCUGCUAGGGUAGAUCAUCAUUUGUUUGUCCCUUUGAAGACCUCAUAGUCUCCCAGGAGAUCUGCUGCACCCAGGGCAACAGAUCAUCAGUGUGCAUGCCCCUCUGAAGACCCUACAGUCUGAACGCCUCCCAGGAGAUCUGCUAUAGCCAGGGCUCCAGGUCUCCCAGGACACCUGAAGCAACCCAGGGAAACAGGAGGCAGGCUCCUGACAGAGACACCCAGGUCAUUUAACACCAGAGAUAACUAGGUGGUGAGAGGCAAGUGGAAAAAAUAUAACCAACAGAAACCAAUGUACUUUGGCACCAUCAGAAACUAGUUCUCUCACCACAGCAAGCCAUGGAUAACCCAACUCACCUGAAAACUAGGAUGCUAACCUAAAAUUGUAUCU